Molecule: ribosomal RNA, 351 nt
Filed under: uncultured Nitrospira sp.
Lineage: Bacteria; Pseudomonadati; Nitrospirota; Nitrospiria; Nitrospirales; Nitrospiraceae
Description: bacterial SSU rRNA
Rfam family: Bacterial small subunit ribosomal RNA
Source: RNAcentral
GGCUGUCGUCAGCUCGUGCCGUGAGGUGUUGGGUUAAGUCCCGCAACGAGCGCAACCCCUGUCUUCAGUUACCAACGGGUCAUGCCGGGAACUCUGGAGAGACUGCCCAGGAGAACGGGGAGGAAGGUGGGGAUGACGUCAAGUCAGCAUGGCCUUUAUGCCUGGGGCCACACACGUGCUACAAUGGCCGGUACAAAGCGCUGCAAACUCGUAAGGGGGAGCCAAUCGCAAAAAACCGGCCUCAGUUCAGAUUGAGGUCUGCAACUCGACCUCAUGAAGGCGGAAUCGCUAGUAAUCCCGGAUCAGCACGCCGGGGUGAAUACGUUCCCGGGCCUUGUACACACCGCCCGU